RNAcentral lists this ribosomal RNA (460 nucleotides) under uncultured bacterium. Its description in RNAcentral is "partial 16S ribosomal RNA". It matches the Rfam family "Bacterial small subunit ribosomal RNA", at positions 338 to 795 of the family's 1533-position model. The record is from RNAcentral.
CCUACGGGUGGCUGCAGUGAGGAAUAUUGGUCAAUGGUCGAGAGUCUGAACCAGCCAAGUAGCGUGAAGGAUGACUGCCCUGUGUAUUGUAAACUUCUUUUGUAUGGGAAUAAAACAGGGUAUGCAUACCCUCUUGUAUGUACCAUAUGAAUAAGGAUCGGCUAACUCCGUGCCAGCAGCCGCGGUAAUACGGAGGAUCCGAGCGUUAUCCGGAUUUAUUGGGUUUAAAGGGUGCGUAGGUGGAUUGUUAAGUCAGUGGUGAAAGUUUGCGGCUCAACCGUAAAAUUGCAGUUGAAACUGGCAGUCUUGAGUACAGUAGAGGUGGGCGGAAUGCGUGGUGUAGCGGUGAAAUGCUUAGAUAUCACGAAGAACCCCGAUUGCGAAGGCAGCUUACUAGCCUGUGACUGACAUUGAUGCUCGAAAGUGUGGGUAUCAAACAGGAUUAGAUACCCCAGUAGUC